This 1021-nucleotide long non-coding RNA is filed under the name Anas platyrhynchos platyrhynchos (common mallard). RNAcentral describes it as "lncRNA (ENSAPLG00000026369.1)". Lineage: Eukaryota; Metazoa; Chordata; Aves; Anseriformes; Anatidae. The record is from RNAcentral.
AUUUCACCUACCUGGGUCCCUGAUGUUUGGCCCUUGCCCUGCUUCCUCCCUCAUGUGCUAAUGAGCUGAGACCAUCCCCAAGCAGACUGCAAGCAUCUUGGCAUCAAGACAUCUGCUCUCUUGGAGCACAGCAGCACUCAGGAGAGCUCGUGCUGAAAGACAUUUCUUCCUAUGAACUCUCUGUUAGUUCUUCUAAAAACCAUCAGAAAUGAAAUAAUUCUUUAAUGGCUGUUCUUACCAAGGUGGACGUGAUUUUUUUAUUUGCAUGGAGUAUUAUUUUGGUCAUGUGCUUGAAAUAUCACCAGCUAGAGAGCUGGUAGCUUUCCCACUGGGAGAGGGCUGCAGGACCCAAGAAGAUGCUUUUGCCAGAUGACCUAGGGGCUCUGCAGGCCAUGAAGGACUGUCUCCAGGCAGGCCAUCCUUAUCCUACAGUACCAGCUGGCUGGGCCUUAACAGAAUCCUCAUUUCAACCAGAUUUAAAACAUCGCUCUAAACUGAUAUUGCAUAUGAAAUACGCUGCUUUGCUGACAAAUCCCUCUUCUGCAUAUGGAAUAUGCUGCUUUGUUGACAAACCCCUCUUUCUUGAAGUUUCUCCAGUGAUCCGAGUGAAUGAAAUGCUGUGGAGCUUCAAGUCAACAUAUUUCUUCAAGUUAGAAAUGGAUUGACUAAAUCAAGUAAAAUAACUCUAUCAAACUUCCAGCCAGAGCUCAGAUUACGUAAAUUCUGAGUAAUUUGCUUUUCCUGACAGUUUUCAAGUCUGCAUUUACAGCUUCUUCUGGGAGUGCUUACAGAACUGCUAAGUAUCACUUCAGCAACAGGCUUGUUGGGUAUUUAGCCUUUCCUAAUCAGCGCCCACACCGAGGUAGAGGAGAGGCAGUACUGAUUUCUCAGUCAAAAUUGUCCUCCUGGAAGACACUUCUUGGGUGUAGGCCAUGAGCGUGGGGGUAGGUGAGGUACUUUCUUUUGUCCCAAGUUUAUCUGUGUUAACUGAAAACCAAAAUAAAACCAACUAACCAAAACA